GACGAACGCUGGCGGCGUGCCUAACACAUGCAAGUCGAGCGGGGAAAGUUCUUCGGAACUUUUCUAGCGGCGGACGGGUGAGUAACGCGUGAGCAAUCUGUCCCAUACAGGGGGAUAACAACUGGAAACAGGUGCUAAUACCGCAUAAGACCACGAGGUCGCAUGGCCAUGGGGUAAAAGGAGCAAUCCGGUUUGGGGUGAGUUCGCGUCCGAUUAGCUAGUUGGUGAGGUAACGGCCCACCAAGGCGACGAUCGGUAGCCGACCUGAGAGGGUGAUCGGCCACAUUGGAACUGAGACACGGUCCAAACUCCUACGGGAGGCAGCAGUGGGGAAUAUUGGGCAAUGGGCGCAAGCCUGACCCAGCAACGCCGCGUGAGUGAAGAAGGUUUUCGGAUUGUAAAGCUCUGUCCUUGGUGACGAAGGAAGUGACGGUAGCCAAGGAGGAAGCCCCGGCUAACUACGUG
Molecule: ribosomal RNA, 465 nt
Filed under: uncultured bacterium
Lineage: Bacteria
Description: bacterial SSU rRNA
Rfam family: Bacterial small subunit ribosomal RNA
Source: RNAcentral